Molecule: ribosomal RNA, 1478 nt
Filed under: Escherichia coli
Lineage: Bacteria; Pseudomonadati; Pseudomonadota; Gammaproteobacteria; Enterobacterales; Enterobacteriaceae
Description: bacterial SSU rRNA
Rfam family: Bacterial small subunit ribosomal RNA
Source: RNAcentral
AAGCAGCUUGCUGCUUUGCUGACGAGUGGCGGACGGGUGAGUAAUGUCUGGGAAACUGCCUGAUGGAGGGGGAUAACUACUGGAAACGGUAGCUAAUACCGCAUAACGUCGCAAGACCAAAGAGGGGGACCUUAGGGCCUCUUGCCAUCGGAUGUGCCCAGAUGGGAUUAGCUAGUAGGUGGGGUAAAGGCUCACCUAGGCGACGAUCCCUAGCUGGUCUGAGAGGAUGACCAGCCACACUGGAACUGAGACACGGUCCAGACUCCUACGGGAGGCAGCAGUGGGGAAUAUUGCACAAUGGGCGCAAGCCUGAUGCAGCCAUGCCGCGUGUAUGAAGAAGGCCUUCGGGUUGUAAAGUACUUUCAGCGGGGAGGAAGGGAGUAAAGUUAAUACCUUUGCUCAUUGACGUUACCCGCAGAAGAAGCACCGGCUAACUCCGUGCCAGCAGCCGCGGUAAUACGGAGGGUGCAAGCGUUAAUCGGAAUUACUGGGCGUAAAGCGCACGCAGGCGGUUUGUUAAGUCAGAUGUGAAAUCCCCGGGCUCAACCUGGGAACUGCAUCUGAUACUGGCAAGCUUGAGUCUCGUAGAGGGGGGUAGAAUUCCAGGUGUAGCGGUGAAAUGCGUAGAGAUCUGGAGGAAUACCGGUGGCGAAGGCGGCCCCCUGGACGAAGACUGACGCUCAGGUGCGAAAGCGUGGGGAGCAAACAGGAUUAGAUACCCUGGUAGUCCACGCCGUAAACGAUGUCGACUUGGAGGUUGUGCCCUUGAGGCGUGGCUUCCGGAGCUAACGCGUUAAGUCGACCGCCUGGGGAGUACGGCCGCAAGGUUAAAACUCAAAUGAAUUGACGGGGGCCCGCACAAGCGGUGGAGCAUGUGGUUUAAUUCGAUGCAACGCGAAGAACCUUACCUGGUCUUGACAUCCACGGAAGUUUUCAGAGAUGAGAAUGUGCCUUCGGGAACCGUGAGACAGGUGCUGCAUGGCUGUCGUCAGCUCGUGUUGUGAAAUGUUGGGUUAAGUCCCGCAACGAGCGCAACCCUUAUCCUUUGUUGCCAGCGGUCCGGCCGGGAACUCAAAGGAGACUGCCAGUGAUAAACUGGAGGAAGGUGGGGAUGACGUCAAGUCAUCAUGGCCCUUACGACCAGGGCUACACACGUGCUACAAUGGCGCAUACAAAGAGAAGCGACCUCGCGAGAGCAAGCGGACCUCAUAAAGUGCGUCGUAGUCCGGAUUGGAGUCUGCAACUCGACUCCAUGAAGUCGGAAUCGCUAGUAAUCGUGGAUCAGAAUGCCACGGUGAAUACGUUCCCGGGCCUUGUACACACCGCCCGUCACACCAUGGGAGUGGGUUGCAAAAGAAGUAGGUAGCUUAACCUUCGGGAGGGCGCUUACCACUUUGUGAUUCAUGACUGGGGUGAAGUCGUAACAAGGUAACCGUAGGGGAACCUGCGGUUGGAUCACCUCCUUACCUUAAAGAAGC